CCUACGGGAGGCAGCAGUGGGGAAUAUUGGACAAUGGGGGCAACCCUGAUCCAGCCAUGCCGCGUGUGUGAAGAAGGCCCUCGGGUUGUAAAGCAAUUUCAGUGAGGAAGAACGCCUGGUGGUUAAUACCCAUCAGGAAAGACAUCACUCACAGAAGAAGCACCGGCUAACUCCGUGCCAGCAGCCGCGGUAAUACGGAGGGUGCGAGCGUUAAUCGGAAUUACUGGGCGUAAAGCGCGCGUAGGUGGCUUGAUAAGCCGGUUGUGAAAGCCCCGGGCUCAACCUGGGAACGGCAUCCGGAACUGUCAAGCUAGAGUGCAGGAGAGGAAGGUAGAAUUCCCGGUGUAGCGGUGAAAUGCGUGGAGAUCGGGAGGAAUACCAGUGGCGAAGGCGGCCUUCUGGACUGACACUGACACUGAGGUGCGAAAGCGUGGGUAGCAAACAGGAUUAGAUACCCUUGUAGUC
Molecule: ribosomal RNA, 465 nt
Filed under: Vreelandella stevensii
Lineage: Bacteria; Pseudomonadati; Pseudomonadota; Gammaproteobacteria; Oceanospirillales; Halomonadaceae
Description: partial 16S ribosomal RNA
Rfam family: Bacterial small subunit ribosomal RNA
Source: RNAcentral